Molecule: non-coding RNA, 79 nt
Organism: Stygiomarasmius scandens
Lineage: Eukaryota; Fungi; Basidiomycota; Agaricomycetes; Agaricales; Campanellaceae
Source: the annotation of a GenBank genome assembly
UUACCAAUAGUUUACUGGUAGAAAAAAAUUUUCGGUUGGUGACUGAUGGGUCCUGGGUUCAAUCCCCAGUUGGUCCAAG